This 330-nucleotide ribosomal RNA is filed under the name uncultured bacterium. RNAcentral describes it as "bacterial SSU rRNA". It matches the Rfam family "Bacterial small subunit ribosomal RNA", at positions 465 to 793 of the family's 1533-position model. The record is from RNAcentral.
UCGUUUGACGUUAGCUGCAGAAGAAGCACCGGCUAACUCCGUGCCAGCAGCCGCGGUAAUACGGAGGGUGCGAGCGUUAAUCGGAAUUACUGGGCGUAAAGCGCAUGCAGGUGGUUUGUUAAGUCAGAUGUGAAAGCCCGGGGCUCAACCUCGGAAUAGCAUUUGAAACUGGCAGACUAGAGUACUGUAGAGGGGGGUAGGAAUUUCAGGUGUAGCGGUGAAAUGCGUAGAGAUCUGAAGGAAUACCGGUGGCGAAGGCGGCCCCCUGGACAGAUACUGACACUCAGAUGCGAAAGCGUGGGGAGCAAACAGGAUUAGAUACCCUGGUAG